Molecule: unclassified non-coding RNA, 519 nt
Filed under: uncultured Diversispora
Lineage: Eukaryota; Fungi; Glomeromycota; Glomeromycetes; Diversisporales; Diversisporaceae
Description: SSU rRNA
Rfam family: Eukaryotic small subunit ribosomal RNA
Source: RNAcentral
AGCAGCCGCGGUAAUUCCAGCUCCAAUAGCGUAUAUUAAAGUUGUUGCAGUUAAAAAGCUCGUAGUUGAACUUCGGGGUUUACUCAUUGGUCAGGCUUAAUUGUCUGUACUGGUGAGAUAAAUCUCUACCUUCUGAGGAACUUUCAUGCCAUUUAUUUGGUGUGAUUGGAAAUCAGGACUGUUACUUUGAAAAAUUGAGUGUUUAAAGCAGGCUAACGUCUGAAUACAUUAGCAUGGAAUAAUGAAAUAGGACGGAUUGAUUCUAUUUCGUUGGUUUCUAGGGUCACCGUAAUGAUUAAUAGGGAUAGUUGGGGGCAUUAGUAUUCAAUUGUCAGAGGUGAAAUUCUUGGAUUUUAUUGAAGACUAACUACUGCGAAAGCAUUUGCCAAGGAUGUUUUCAUUAAUCAAGAACGAAAGUUAGGGGAUCGAAGACGAUCAGAUACCGUCGUAGUCUUAAACCAUAAACUAUGCCGACUAGGAAUCAGACGAUGUUAAUUUCUAAUGACUCGUUUGCUACCG